GACAAACAGUAUACUUUUUUAUCGACACACAUACACUCCCAACAUGGAUUCCCUUCAAGAUGCAGCUAUCAGUCGGAACGCACGUCCAUAAUUAACAGCAUCCGAAUGACCUGGCGAAAUUCGCCUGAAAUCUGUGCUCAUUAUGCUACGUGGGCUGGCAUCGGUCGAAGGUUCCUGGAAAUCGCCUCUGAAGAGCGGUAUUCAGUAUGCAGAGGAAGCCAAGAGUCCACAUUAAUAACGAUUCACAUUAAGGAGUAAUCCCCUUGGCACCAUUGUAUUCCUUGGAACAAUCUCGGGAAAGAUUAAAAUAAAAAGGGGCGUGUACGUCAUCACUGUAUUUGAGAAGAUAAUUCCACAUUAAGAAGUUGAUAAAAAUGUCCAGUUCAAGGAGUUAUCAAACACACAUUUAUUAAAGUUAUUUGAGAGAUAACAAAAUAAAAAUCUCAUGUACACACAG
Molecule: long non-coding RNA, 457 nt
Organism: Drosophila rhopaloa
Lineage: Eukaryota; Metazoa; Arthropoda; Insecta; Diptera; Drosophilidae
Exons: 3
Source: RefSeq, a predicted model, not a curated record